AGAGCCCCAGGGACAGCCUGGGAUUGAGCAGGCUGAUUGGCUGCCUCUUCAAAGGAACCGUCCUGUGCAGGCAUGUUAGGACCCAGCAUCAGAUCAGAUGCUUCCUGCUGUGCCCUUCAUCCCUGGACUCAAGAGGGGCAAAGAGCCCAAGAGAGGCUAUUACAGGCUCCAAGAUCUACCCAGACCCGGAGCUGGAAGUACAAGUAUUGGGCCUGCCUAUCCGCUGCAUCCACAGUGAGGAGGGCUGCCGCUGGAGUGGGCCACUACGUCAUCUACAGGUGAGGCUCUGAUGUGAGGGCUGGCACCACCUCUCCCUUGGCAGGCACUAAUUGCAGCCUUCCCACCAGGGCCACCUGAAUACCUGCAGCUUCAAUGUCAUUCCCUGCCCUAAUCGCUGCCCCAUGAAGCUGAGCCGCCGUGAUCUACCUGCACACUUGCAGCAUGACUGCCCCAAGCGGCGCCUCAAGUGCGAGUUUUGUGGCUG
Molecule: small RNA, 484 nt
Filed under: Pan troglodytes (chimpanzee)
Lineage: Eukaryota; Metazoa; Chordata; Mammalia; Primates; Hominidae
Description: retained intron
Source: RNAcentral